This 255-nucleotide unclassified non-coding RNA is filed under the name Drosophila simulans. RNAcentral's name for it is "Acp70A". Lineage: Eukaryota; Metazoa; Arthropoda; Insecta; Diptera; Drosophilidae. The record is from RNAcentral.
UUGUAAAAAUGAAAACUCUAUCUCUAUUCUUGGUUCUCGUUUGCCUACUCGGUUUGGUCCAGUCCUGGGAAUGGCCGUGGAACAGGAAGCCUACGAAGUAUCCAAUUCCAAGCCCCAAUCCUCCCUAACCAUUUCUUCCGCAGGUGACAAGUGGUGCCGUCUUAAUUUGGGGCCCGCCUGGGGUGGAAGAUGUUAAGAUAUGAGUAUUUGAGCUUAAAAUAAAAUAAACCCACACCAAUGUCUUAAAAUCCCUAA